This 69-nucleotide transfer RNA is filed under the name Ictidomys tridecemlineatus (thirteen-lined ground squirrel). Its description in RNAcentral is "Spermophilus tridecemlineatus (thirteen-lined ground squirrel) tRNA". It matches the Rfam family "tRNA". Rfam says of the family: Transfer RNA (tRNA) molecules are approximately 80 nucleotides in length. Their secondary structure includes four short double-helical elements and three loops (D, anti-codon, and T loops). RNAcentral also lists the same sequence under 1 other name. The record is from Rfam by way of RNAcentral. Lineage: Eukaryota; Metazoa; Chordata; Mammalia; Rodentia; Sciuridae.
GGAGUUGUGGCUCAGCAGUAGAGUGCUCGCCUAGCAGGUGUGAGGCCCUGGGUUCAAUCCUCAGCACCA